AUACGGAGGAUCCGAGCGUUAUCCGGAUUUAUUGGGUUUAAAGGGAGCGUAGGUGGAUUGUUAAGUCAGUUGUGAAAGUUUGCGGCUCAACCGUAAAAUUGCAGUUGAAACUGGCAGUCUUGAGUACAGUAGAGGUGGGCGGAAUUCGUGGGGUAGCGGUGAAAUGCUUAGAUAUCACGAAGAACUCCGAUUGCGAAGGCAGCUCACUAGACUGUUACUGACACUGAUGCUCGAAAGUGUGGGUAUCAAACAGGAUUAGAUACCCUGGUAGUCCACACAGUAAACGAUGAAUACUCGCUGUUUGCGAUAUACAGUAAGCGGCCAAGCGAAAGCAUUAAGUAUUCCACCUGGGGAGUACGCCGGCAACGGUGAAACUCAAAUGAAUUGACGGGG
RNAcentral lists this ribosomal RNA (393 nucleotides) under uncultured bacterium. Its description in RNAcentral is "partial 16S ribosomal RNA". It matches the Rfam family "Bacterial small subunit ribosomal RNA", at positions 523 to 918 of the family's 1533-position model. The record is from RNAcentral.